UCUGUCUUUUAGUUUAUUGAAAGGUGAAGUGUUUGCUGUGCUCCAAAGAACUUUAAUACAGCAACAACACCUCAUCUAUGCUCAGGCCUUACAGAGCCCUGCGCGAAAACAAGGAGGCUAUCCAAGGUGGACCAAGCUCAGGGAGAGGAAUGAUGUGGAUGAGGCCUUGGUCAACAUGGUGAUUCCCAGCCCUUCACUAUUGUGGAGGACAGUGGGUUUAGAAAGCUUGUUAAAGCUUUGAACCCUAACUAUGUUCUCCCCACAAGUCAGGCUUUGAAAGCUAUGGUGGACCAAAGAUACAAAGAGUCCAAACUAAAAGAAAAACUGACUGUGGCAAAGGCUUCUGCAGUUAGUUUGACAUCUGAUAUGUGGACCUCCAUUAACACAGAGGCUUACCUAGCUGUCACCUGCCAUUUCACCGAUUCUAGCACUGCAUUGCAUUCUGUGGUGUUAGGUGUUCAGCACUUCCCUAAAGCAAAUACUACUAUCAAUUUGUCCCAAGUAACAGCAGCGCUCAUGUCAGAGAAAGUUACAUGUUAUGUGACUGAUGGAGCAGCAAACAUGGGUGCUCAUGCAAAGGAACUUUGUUUGUGUCACAGUAAUUGUGAGGCGCAUACAUCGAACCUAAUGGUCAAAAGCUCUUGAUCAACACACCACGCUGUCUGAGAUCCAGACCACCUGUAGGAGGAUAGUGGGAUAUUUCAACGUUUGUUCCAUUAUUUCAUUACUGCUUUAAACACUUAAACCCCCGGAGAGC
This is a long non-coding RNA of Haplochromis burtoni (Burton's mouthbrooder), 757 nucleotides long. RefSeq lists it as uncharacterized. The record is from RefSeq and is a predicted model, not a curated record. NCBI's taxonomy places the organism in Eukaryota, Metazoa, Chordata, Actinopteri, Cichliformes, Cichlidae. The transcript has 3 exons.